AAAAAUUAAAAUUAAAAUACUAAAAUAGUAAAUAUAAUAUUAUUUAAACUUAAAUAAUUUGGCGGUAUUUUAGUUCAUUUAGAGGAAUCUGUUUAAUAAUUGAUAUUCCACGAAUAAAUUUACUUAAUUUAUAAUUUUGUAUAUCGUUGUUAUAAAAAUAUUUUUUAAUAAAAUUAAUAUUUUAAAAUUAAUAAUAAAUUUAAAUCAGAUCAAGAUGCAGAUUAUAAUUAAGAAUAUAAUGGAUUACAAUAAAUUUAUUUAAAUGGAUUUUAAUUUGUAAAAAUUAAUUGAAAGUGGAUUUAAAUGUAAUUUUAUUUAAUUUAAUAAAAUGAUUUAAAAUUAAAAUAUGU
RNAcentral lists this ribosomal RNA (350 nucleotides) under Busseola sp. BUTAG4881. RNAcentral describes it as "partial 12S small subunit ribosomal RNA". The record is from RNAcentral. Lineage: Eukaryota; Metazoa; Arthropoda; Insecta; Lepidoptera; Noctuidae.